AUUUUGUUUUUUUUUGUUUUAGUUGAAGUAUAAAAGUAUCAAGAACGUCAAAUCUCAUUAGAAAUGAUAAAACAAUUUUACCAAUUCACAUACAUAAAAUAUGUUGUCUGCUAAAUUUGUGAGUAAUUUUCAAUAAAGCUUUGACUAUACGGCAAGUAAAAAAAAGUGAAAAUAAAUGACUCAAAAUAUUGCCCUUCCAAAAAGAAACCUUCGGUUUUUAGCUUGGUCUGUGCCACAAGGACACUGUUGGUUGUGUAAAUUCGCAAGAAAACGUAAAAAAAUAAUGAAAAAAAUAAGUAUAAAACAGAGCUAAAUAGUAUUAACCCCAAGACACCUUUCCCGCUGUAGAUUACAUUCGAAAGAAACCAGGUUUCUGUAAUUUAAUGUAAAACAGGAUUGUAAUGUUGCUAUGCUAUGCUAUGCAGUUCCUAAAAAAAAACUAAACUCAAAUCGUUCUUUUUUUUCUUCUUUUUGUCCUGACAAUGUAAGUCACAGGAGCAUGCCAAUACUCCGUAUUUGCACGAAACUAGACAAUAAAAGUUAAAGAAAAAACCUCCGACCUUAAUUAUGAUAACCAACAAAGGUUAAUCAAGUCACUAAGGUUAAUCUAAAAGUACUUUAUUUAGACAAAUGUUUAAUAGUACUGCGAAUGUAUCCGAGAAGAUCACUCAUACAUGAGCUAGGAGCAUUUUUGGAUUUCGGUAAAUUGUACAUGUGUGGUUCAUAGAACUAUCAGGCGCA
This 741-nucleotide long non-coding RNA is filed under the name Mytilus galloprovincialis (Mediterranean mussel). Lineage: Eukaryota; Metazoa; Mollusca; Bivalvia; Mytilida; Mytilidae. The record is from RNAcentral.